UACAGAGGGUGCAAGCGUUGUUCGGAAUCAUUGGGCGUAAAGGGUGCGUAGGUGGGUUGGUAAGUCAGUGGUGAAAUCCCCGAGCUUAACUUGGGAACCGCCAUUGAUACUAUCAGUCUUGAAUACCGUGGAGGUCAGCGGAAUAUGUCAUGUAGCGGUGAAAUGCUUAGAUAUGACAUAGAACACCAAUUGCGAAGGCAGCUGGCUACACGAGUAUUGACACUGAGGCACGAAAGCGUGGGGAUCAAACAGG
Molecule: ribosomal RNA, 253 nt
Filed under: uncultured bacterium
Lineage: Bacteria
Description: partial 16S ribosomal RNA
Rfam family: Bacterial small subunit ribosomal RNA
Source: RNAcentral